CCUACGGGUGGCAGCAGUGGGGAAUAUUGGGCAAUGGAGGCAACUCUGACCCAGCAACGCCGCGUGAAUGAAGAAGGCUUUCGGGUUGUAAAGUUCUUUAAUGGGGGACGAAGAAAGUGACGGUCCCCUUAGAUUAAGCCACGGUUACUUACGUGCCAGCAGCCGCGGUAAUACGUAGGUGGCAAGCGUUGCCCGGAUUGACUGGGCGUAAGGGGAGGGUAGACGGAGGGAUAAGUCAGGAGUGAAAUCCCGGGGCUCAACCCCGGAACUGCUUUGAAAACUGCCGUGCUUGAGUGAUGGAGAGGGAAGCGGAAUUCCUAGUGUAGCGGUGGAAUGCGUAGAUAUUAGGAAGAACACCAGAGGCGAAGGCGGCUUACUGGACGAUAACUGACGGUGAGGCUCGAAAGCGUGGGGAGCAAACAGGAUUAGAUACCCUUGUAGUC
This 443-nucleotide ribosomal RNA is filed under the name uncultured bacterium. Its description in RNAcentral is "partial 16S ribosomal RNA". It matches the Rfam family "Bacterial small subunit ribosomal RNA", at positions 338 to 795 of the family's 1533-position model. The record is from RNAcentral.